RNAcentral lists this ribosomal RNA (497 nucleotides) under uncultured bacterium. RNAcentral's name for it is "partial 16S ribosomal RNA". It matches the Rfam family "Bacterial small subunit ribosomal RNA", at positions 28 to 507 of the family's 1533-position model. The record is from RNAcentral.
GAUGAACGCUGGCGGCGUGCCUAAUACAUGCAAGUCGAGCGAACGGACGAGAAGCUUGCUUCUCUGAUGUUAUCGGCGGACGGGUGAGUAACACGUGGAUAACCUACCUAUAAGACUGGGAUAACUUCGGGAAACCGGAGCUAAUACCGGAUAAUAUUUUGAACCGCAUGGUUCAAAAGUGAAAGACGGUCUUGCUGUCACUUAUAGAUGGAUCCGCGCUGCAUUAGCUAUUUGGUAAGGUAACGGCUUACCAAGGCAACGAUGCAUAGCCGACCUGAGAGGGUGAUCGGCCACACUGGAACUGAGACACGGUCCAGACUACUACGGGAGGCAGCAGUAGGGAAUCUUCCGCAAUGGGCGAAAGCCUGACGGAGCAACGCCGCGUGAGUGAUGAAGGUCUUCGGAUCGUAAAACUCUGUUAUUAGGGAAGAACAUAUGUGUAAGUAACUGUGCACAUCUUGACGGUACCUAAUCAGAAAGCCACGGCUAACUACGUG